GAUUCCCCCAGUAGCGGCGAGCGAACGGGGAGCAGCCCAGAGCCUGAAUCAGUAUGUGUGUUAGUGGAAGCGUCUGGAAAGGCGCGCGAUACAGGGUGACAGCCCCGUACACAAAAAUGCACAUGCUGUGAGCUCGAUGAGUAGGGCGGGACACGUGGUAUCCUGUCUGAAUAUGGGGGGACCAUCCUCCAAGGCUAAAUACUCCUGACUGACCGAUAGUGAACCAGUACCGUGAGGGAAAGGCGAAAAGAACCCCGGCGAGGGGAGUGAAAAAGAACCUGAAACCGUGUACGUACAAGCAGUGGGAGCACGCUUAGGCGUGUGACUGCGUACCUUUUGUAUAAUGGGUCAGCGACUUAUAUUCUGUAGCAAGGUUAACCGAAUAGGGGAGCCGAAGGGAAACCGAGUCUUAACUGGGCGUUAAGUUGCAGGGUAUAGACCCGAAACCCGGUGAUCUAGCCAUGGGCAGGUUGAAGGUUGGGUAACACUAACUGGAGGACCGAACCGACUAAUGUUGAAAAAUUAGCGGAUGACUUGUGGCUGGGGGUGAAAGGCCAAUCAAACCGGGAGAUAGCUGGUUCUCCCCGAAAGCUAUUUAGGUAGCGCCUCGUGAAUUCAUCUCCGGGGGUAGAGCACUGUUUCGGCAAGGGGGUCAUCCCGACUUACCAACCCGAUGCAAACUGCGAAUACCGGAGAAUGUUAUCACGGGAGACACACGGCGGGUGCUAACGUCCGUCGUGAAGAGGGAAACAACCCAGACCGCCAGCUAAGGUCCCAAAGUCAUGGUUAAGUGGGAAACGAUGUGGGAAGGCCCAGACAGCCAGGAUGUUGGCUUAGAAGCAGCCAUCAUUUAAAGAAAGCGUAAUAGCUCACUGGUCGAGUCGGCCUGCGCGGAAGAUGUAACGGGGCUAAACCAUGCAC
RNAcentral lists this ribosomal RNA (921 nucleotides) under Escherichia coli. Its description in RNAcentral is "partial 23S ribosomal RNA". It matches the Rfam family "Bacterial large subunit ribosomal RNA", at positions 233 to 1194 of the family's 2925-position model. Lineage: Bacteria; Pseudomonadati; Pseudomonadota; Gammaproteobacteria; Enterobacterales; Enterobacteriaceae. The record is from RNAcentral.